This is a non-coding RNA of Parelaphostrongylus tenuis, 74 nucleotides long. The record is from the annotation of a GenBank genome assembly. Lineage: Eukaryota; Metazoa; Nematoda; Chromadorea; Rhabditida; Metastrongylidae.
GGCGUCGGUAGUACAACGGUUCACCACGUGCUCCGGGAGAGAGUGAAAUGUGGGUUUGAAUCCCACCUGACCCA